CAUUGUUCAAUUAUGUCUGUGUGUAUUAACAAUUGGUUUUGUUUUUUCAGAACCAUUAAAGACUACCCAGACGACCCCCCAGCUGGACGAGGAAGAAAGCAGACCAUCUACACCAACCUCUGUAUCUGGAAGUGUUGACUCUGCGUCUGGUAAAAUCACCGUUGAAUGGUCCCAUGCUGGAGGUAACGUAACGGACUUCUUAGUUGUGUACCAGUACAGUGGUCAAACUAACAACAUCUCCCACACCCCGGAAACGGACUUGAGUCAACGACAGAGCGUACAUAUUGACACCGAGCCCGGCUACGAGUACAGGAUCUGGGUUCUGUCUCGGGAUGGUCAGAAUCCGUCUGCUAAGUCGAAGAUCGUCACAGUUGUUACCAAGCCAUCGGUACCGAUCUCAGUAAGUGUAACCAGAAGGCCUGGGCAAGCUCUCGUCGGUUGGCAACCAGGCGAAGGCGGUGCCGAUAAAUUCAUCGUUUUCUCGAACUUUGGGGCAGAAGAUUCUACAGUGACAGUGCCAAAUGACCAAACAGCACCAUUUUCCACGGCACUAACCACCUCUCCGGGUGAAACAUACUCCAUAUGGGUAA
Long non-coding RNA from Liolophura sinensis, 590 nucleotides. RefSeq lists it as uncharacterized. NCBI's taxonomy places the organism in Eukaryota, Metazoa, Mollusca, Polyplacophora, Chitonida, Chitonidae. The transcript has 3 exons. The record is from RefSeq and is a predicted model, not a curated record.